AUAUCCUUAUGAGUUCUAUCUAUUGUUAGAUAGAACUACAUGAACAGAAGCUCUUUGAGUCCUCAAUCAUUUUUAAGAGUGCAAAGAGGUCUUAAGACCAAAAUGAUCGCAAUCUGCUUUGAGUCCUCAAUCAUUUUUAAGAGUGCAAAGAGGUCUUAAGACCAAAAUGAUCGCAAUCUGCUGACCUACUUUGGGCAAGAUGACAUACUCUCACCUUUUCUGUUCAUUCUCUUUAGCCUUCAGAGCAGACCUGUAAGAGCCUAGAUUUCCAGCGUAUGGAAAGCAAAAAGGAGGCUCAGAGUAAAGCCGCACCUCUAAUAAGGGAUAAAGCUGGGAUUGGACAUCACUUUCUCUGCUCUACCCAUUUUGCUGCACUGUCUCUUAGCAUCCAUUGUGGCAAAAAGAAGUUUUAUGGAAGAGAAAGCAAGCCGCAAACAUUAGAGAUUUUGCAAGAGGCAAGCUUCACUCUCCAAUACUUGCUGAAAAAUAUUCUCUGUGCUCCUCGGUCUCCAAAGAAGGAGACUAAUUUAGUUCAAAAAGAGAGAUCUCUGUCCGCGGCUCAGCCCUGGGUGUCGGGGUUCCAGGCGUCGCUGGGUCUGGGCGCGCCACGUCUGCACAGCGCCCUCUGUUGGCCCCUCUCUGCUCCAGCC
Molecule: long non-coding RNA, 650 nt
Filed under: Homo sapiens (human)
Lineage: Eukaryota; Metazoa; Chordata; Mammalia; Primates; Hominidae
Description: non-protein coding lnc-CYSLTR2-2:2
Source: RNAcentral